RNAcentral lists this long non-coding RNA (1372 nucleotides) under Equus caballus (horse). RNAcentral describes it as "lncRNA (ENSECAG00000046182.1)". The record is from RNAcentral. Lineage: Eukaryota; Metazoa; Chordata; Mammalia; Perissodactyla; Equidae.
AACACACCCUUGAACACAAAGUCUGAUGUUUAAGAGGGCACAUAAACAGAUUUUAAAAACCUGAUUUUAUGACUGAAAACUAGGAAUAACAGUUCCAGUGUUAUAAUCCAAAUUACCAUAAGGGAGAAUCUCCUAGACUACCACAUUUCAGCUUGUCUGCUGAGCGACAGCCCUUUGCGCACUCAGUCCUGACCAGCUAGGCAAAGCACAAAGCGAGGGCCCUCCUUUAGAGCCUUCUUGGCAAGAUGGGCCAUGGAAGGAAUACUUCCCUUAGCCACGGGGGCUAUGGUGGAUCUGCUCAAAUACAAUCCCAUGAAACAGGAUGUUUUAAAAACAGUCAUCAUGAUUUUCAAGGCUCUUGGUUGUGAUUGACAGAAAUUCAACUCCUGCCCACAUCCUUGCCUAGCUCACAGCCUCACUUCAUUCACGUCUCUGCUCAAAUGGCCCUUGGCAGAAAGUCCUCCCUUGUCACCUCCAUUCCAAAUAACCUCCUCCGUCUUCGCUCUAUCCGCUUACGCUGAUUUGCUUUUUUUAUUCAUAGCACUUGUCCCUAUGGGACAUUGAUAUCUAUGGAGCUUACAGUCUAGUGGGAGACACAACACAACUAAUUCACAUAUAUAAUUGGCAGUUUCCCACACCAGAUUGUAAGCUCCAUGAGGGCAGAGGGCUUUGUCUUUUCUAUUAACUUCCACAGCCUCAGCCCUGGAGCAGUGCUUGCCACACAGUAGUUGCUCAGUAAAUGUUUGUAGAACAAAGAGAAGAGGAGACUCAAUUGGCAUCUGAAUCCAAACCGUCGCAAAAGGGAGGAAUAACAAGAACUGGGGACUUAAAUGUACCCAGGGCUCACUUCGAUCAUCUGUAUGCCAUUCUAUCUGGUGUCCCCUUCAUGCUCUCAAUGAUCCACAUAACGGCUGCCUUUGAAGCGCCAGGCUUACCUUAUCACAACUCCACAACCAGAGGGCAAGGGGUUUCUCUCUCUCAGUUCCAGGUCACAGCACCCCGGUUUUUCAGAUUCAGGAAGGAUGCUAGACACUGGGAACACUGAGCUUUGAGCUGAGGAGGAAUUUUCUAGCUGGUACCUUCCUGAAGAAAGUGAAGCACAAGCUAGACUCCUUCUCCAACAAAAAUAACCCAGAAGUUUGGUGCCUGAGGAUUGUUAAAGCCAAGGGCUACACUGCCCACCCUUCUCCACCAUCCCCUGAUAGAAUCAAUGCUCAGAGUAACCUUGGAAGCCAUGUUUUGGAGAUUUUAGAGCCUUCUUCAACCUGAAGUCCUGAAUGACUAUGAGAACAGAGGCCCCCAUCGCCAACUCCCUGUACUAACUGUACUUUUUACGAUCAAGAAAUAAACUUCUGUCUUGCUAAACUACUAA